AUUGAACGCUGGCGGCAUGCCUUACACAUGCAAGUCGAACGGCAUCGCGGGAAAGCUUGCUUUCCUGGCGGCGAGUGGCGACCGGGUGAGUAACACAUCGGAACGUACCGGCUAGUGGGGGAUAACCCGUCGAAAGACGGGCUAAUACCGCAUACGCUCUUCGGAGGAAAGCAGGGGACCUUUGGGCCUUGCGCUAGUCGAGCGGCCGAUGUCCGAUUAGCUAGUUGGUGGGGUAAAGGCCUACCAAGGCGACGAUCGGUAGCGGGUCUGAGAGGACGAUCCGCCACACUGGGACUGAGACACGGCCCAGACUCCUACGGGAGGCAGCAGUGGGGAAUCUUGGACAAUGGGGGCAACCCUGAUCCAGCAAUGCCGCGUGGGUGAAGAAGGCCUUCGGGUUGUAAAGCCCUUUCGGCAGGGAAGAAAUCGGCGGGGCGAAUAACCCUGCUGGAUGACGGUACCUGCAGAAGAAGCACCGGCUAACUACGUG
Molecule: ribosomal RNA, 490 nt
Filed under: uncultured bacterium
Lineage: Bacteria
Description: partial 16S ribosomal RNA
Rfam family: Bacterial small subunit ribosomal RNA
Source: RNAcentral